Molecule: ribosomal RNA, 1030 nt
Filed under: Bacillus pumilus
Lineage: Bacteria; Bacillati; Bacillota; Bacilli; Caryophanales; Bacillaceae
Description: bacterial SSU rRNA
Rfam family: Bacterial small subunit ribosomal RNA
Source: RNAcentral
GCAAGUCGAGCGAACAGAAGGGAGCUUGCUCCCGGAUGUUAGCGGCGGACGGGUGAGUAACACGUGGGUAACCUGCCUGUAAGACUGGGAUAACUCCGGGAAACCGGAGCUAAUACCGGAUAGUUCCUUGAACCGCAUGGUUCAAGGAUGAAAGACGGUUUCGGCUGUCACUUACAGAUGGACCCGCGGCGCAUUAGCUAGUUGGUGGGGUAAUGGCUCACCAAGGCGACGAUGCGUAGCCGACCUGAGAGGGUGAUCGGCCACACUGGGACUGAGACACGGCCCAGACUCCUACGGGAGGCAGCAGUAGGGAAUCUUCCGCAAUGGACGAAAGUCUGACGGAGCAACGCCGCGUGAGUGAUGAAGGUUUUCGGAUCGUAAAGCUCUGUUGUUAGGGAAGAACAAGUGCGAGAGUAACUGCUCGCACCUUGACGGUACCUAACCAGAAAGCCACGGCUAACUACGUGCCAGCAGCCGCGGUAAUACGUAGGUGGCAAGCGUUGUCCGGAAUUAUUGGGCGUAAAGGGCUCGCAGGCGGUUUCUUAAGUCUGAUGUGAAAGCCCCCGGCUCAACCGGGGAGGGUCAUUGGAAACUGGGAAACUUGAGUGCAGAAGAGGAGAGUGGAAUUCCACGUGUAGCGGUGAAAUGCGUAGAGAUGUGGAGGAACACCAGUGGCGAAGGCGACUCUCUGGUCUGUAACUGACGCUGAGGAGCGAAAGCGUGGGGAGCGAACAGGAUUAGAUACCCUGGUAGUCCACGCCGUAAACGAUGAGUGCUAAUGGUUAGGGGGGUUUCCGCCCCUUAGUGCUGCAGCUAACGCAUUAAGCACUCCGCCUGGGGGAGUACGGUCGCAAGACUGAAACUCAAAGGAAUUGACGGGGGCCCGCACAAGCGGUGGAAGCAUGUGGUUUAAUUCGAAGCAACGCGAAGAACCUUACCAGGUCUUGACAUCCUCUGACAACCCUAGAGAUAGGGCUUUCCCUUCGGGGACAGAGUGACAAGGGGGGGCAAGGGUUGUCGUCCACCUCCU